CCCCCCCCCCCCUGACUUUGAGAAGCUCCAACACGACAUGCAUAAAGCACAACCAUCUCAUUAGUGCUGGUGAGACACAUCAUGUCCAGGGGGGACCCUUUGUUCAGGGCAGGUGGGGCAGAAGCCACGACAGGUGAUCCACCACCUAUUUUUGGGGGGCCUGUUUUGCAUGUUAUUUUAAUACAGGUAACAUAUCAGUUUGCAAACAAUGUAUGUUGUGUAGUAAGCUGUUAGUAGCCCAUGUGCUUCACCAUAAUAAUUUGCUCCAUUUUCCCCUCAUAACAUAGCCUACUGUUCUGACUUGGUGGUGCACAUUCAGCCUAUAGCCUGUUUUAGAGAAAUGUUACCAUCAAAUAUUGUAAGAGCUUUCAUUGUCUGCUUAUAGACCACACUUAUGACUUGGUUGUCAGGGAGAACACUGUAAGAACAGCCCAUGUUCUCAAUUCUGUCGCAGUACAUUUCAAAAGUGCUGAACAAAUAGUUAUAUUGACUACGUCAGUCCUAGCUCGCUCAUUAAUGUCUUAAUCAAUGUUAUGGAUUGCCUCUUAUCCGCUCAUUGUCCCCUUAUGCAAUAGUUUGUACAUCUCAAUUGCAAGAAGACACCACAUCUGUUUAGCAAGUCAGCCAUAUCAGCUAUGCUUUUUUUAAAGGCAGUAAAUGAGGCUGAAUUAACUGUUUCGCUGCCAGACAAGGCUCUGCUGACAGCCAGGUGUAGCAGUGGUAAGGUGUUGGGACUGCUGUUGGGACUCUGCUGUUGGGACAGCUUUAUGCCCUACCAGUUUGUGAGCACGGUUUGUCACCGUUAUAUUGCAAUUCAUGUUUUGUUUAUUGUUGUGUUGUGUAGUGGCCUUUCUGGCAUGCAUAAAUCAAAAGUAAAAAAAUGCCACACCAAUAUUUACAUGCUAAAAUUGCCACUGAUCAUGUCAGUCUAAUUUGCAAUUCACUGUCAUAGCCCCACAUUAAAAAUAUGUGAGGGUGAGCUGAGAAAAUCUGAAAUAAGAAAUACUUUUAGAAUGUUUUUCAAUUGACUGCCACAGCACCAAAUAAAAAAAGUAUGAAUGGCAUUUAAAAAACAAAAAAUUUUGGGGGUUAAUUUGAAUUGUUUUAGGCGAUAAUUUUCAAAUAUCAAAAUGGGGUCGUGGGACAAAAAAGUUUGCGGAUCACUGGCAUAGAGUACAUAUUUGGCUUGCAGUAACUAAACUGGCCAGGGGGAGGGGCAGCUUUCCUAUAAAGUACUGUAAUGAGGGAGCCAAUAAGAUACAGAAGUCUUGAUGAAACCUGGACCCUCCCUGUUUCUCUACGUGAUUCUUGCUGGAAGGUUCAACUGACUGGUUACACAUUAACCAAAGGAGCUGGGGCAUGCUGUCUCAUUAUCAAAUAUUUCUGUUUUCAAAAUUAUGGCUACUCAAUAGCCUUUAGCAUUAGCAAUUUGGAAAUGGGAAGUUGGAAUGAAUAAUAUUUGAGACUAUAGGUGGUACAUAUACAACAAAACAGGCCAUUCAUAUAUACACAAGGUGCCGUGGUUGAGUAUUGGAGAAGGACAAGACACAGCGUUGUUCUGGGACUAUUUGACUGUUAGCUAUUACCAUUUAGCCACCAUCACCAUGGGUAAAGCUGUGUCAGAUAUAGAUACUUAAGAGCUGGAUUCAAUCUGUAUUGUGAAAUGUAAAAGCAAUUUUCCGAUUGAGCCGACAUACAGUAUGCAGCAUUUACCGUGAAUGCAGUCUCCACAAAUUCUUGAACAUUGUCUUUAAAAUUAAAUCGAGCUAUAACGUGGAUCUGCAACACUUCUGCGAUAUGGAUUGAAUCCAGCCCUCAAUCAUUAGCCCUAAAUACAUGAUGUGAUGUAUUGGGGAAUAUUUGACUGUUAGCUGUUACCAUUUAGCCACCAUCUUCAUGGCAAUAGCCACCAUCACCAUGGAUGUUGUGGCUCAAAACCAGAAGAACAGAGUUCUGACUCAACUGCAGAGCAAGAAAACCCUUUACAGACAGGAACUCAGUUCAAACCAUCUCCUAAGAAAGAUGCAUCAGCAAGAUCCAUCAAGGAGACUGCAAAGUUCGAUAUAAAUCAAGCACGCUCACAUGAAGUGGAUGUUAGUCUGGAUGUGGACACUGCUCACCCUAAGCUGAAGAUACAUGGGAACUCACUACAGUGGACUAAUGAAUCACCACAGAGAAAAAUUGAAGUUGAAAACUGUUUUGAUGAAGAGCCUUUUGUGUUGGGCAAAAUGGGCAGUCCUUUGAAGACUUACUGGGAGGUGAAUGUGAAGGAGAAGGAUGACUGGGUGCUUGGCGUUGCCAAGGAAACGGCUGACAGGAAGGGGCCGUUGGCUUUCAGUCCAACUAAUGGAUUCUGGGUAAUCAGACUAUCCAAUGGGCAAAGACUUAAAGCCAUGGAGGAUGAAGAACACGUUCUUGACAAAGGUAUUCCAGAUAAAGUUGGUAUCUAUCUAGAUUAUCAGGAAAAGAAGGUGACUUUCUUUAAUGCAGAAGAAGGUUCGCUCAUCUACUCAUUUAUCAAUGGACCAAGUUAUCAGGAUGAUGUCCGCCCACUUUUCUCACCCUGGAACAACGAUGCAAAACCAAUCACAAUUUUGCCCAUCACAGCAACAUAGAAAAACAUAAUUCAUCACAUACCCUGUAUGUCAAUAGCUUAUUGUGGUAUAAAGCUAUGUGAAUCAUUUUCGAUUAAGUGAUGUACAGAAUUGUGGAUUAAUUCUCAUCCUUUGCUGUCAUCUAACCAGGCAUCAAUGUUGUGUUCCCUAUUCUUUAUUAAUAUAUUAGACAUUCAUUAUUUCAGUAGGGUAUUGUGUGUGACAUUAAACAUGCAUUUUUGUUUUAAAACAUG
Molecule: RNA transcript, 2848 nt
Organism: Oncorhynchus kisutch (coho salmon)
Lineage: Eukaryota; Metazoa; Chordata; Actinopteri; Salmoniformes; Salmonidae
Gene name: butyrophilin subfamily 1 member A1-like
Exons: 7
Source: RefSeq, a predicted model, not a curated record